This 267-nucleotide signal recognition particle RNA is filed under the name Phycisphaerae bacterium. RNAcentral describes it as "signal recognition particle sRNA large type". It matches the Rfam family "Bacterial large signal recognition particle RNA". Rfam says of the family: The signal recognition particle (SRP) is a universally conserved ribonucleoprotein involved in the co-translational targeting of proteins to membranes. Archaeal SRP consists of a 7S RNA and homologues of the eukaryotic SRP19 and SRP54 proteins. Lineage: Bacteria; Pseudomonadati; Planctomycetota; Phycisphaerae. The record is from RNAcentral.
UCGUGCUAGGCGGGGCGCUAGCGGUGCCCUGUACCCGCAAUCCGCUACAGCGGGGCUGAAUUCCCCUCCGCGGGUCGUUGGUUGUCGGUCUCCUUGCUCGGCGGGCGGCGUUGAACGCCGGGUCCUCUGCGACGCUGAGACGUGAACCUGGUCAGGUCCGGAAGGAAGCAGCCAUAAGCGAAUCUUCAGCGGGCGCCGGAGGGUUGCCUGGCCGGAGCCGUUUCGUCGGACAAGCCCGGCGGCCUCGGUUCAACGAGGGGUGCACGG